Molecule: long non-coding RNA, 3619 nt
Organism: Helianthus annuus (common sunflower)
Lineage: Eukaryota; Viridiplantae; Streptophyta; Magnoliopsida; Asterales; Asteraceae
Exons: 9
Source: RefSeq, a predicted model, not a curated record
UUCUCCUUCACUUUCACGAGGGCCUAAUUUGUUCACCAGUUUCUCAAUCAAUUGCUAUUUUACCUUAUUCUCUCUUCUUUCCAAAAUCACUUCAAAGAAACCCUAAAACCAUUUGUCUGCGGUUCAAGCAACAAGAAACAAGAGAGAUAUGGAGCAGAUGCGAGACGCAGACGGGAGAUGGUCAUCUUCUCCGACGACUGGUGUCAGCGAUAUGCCUUUCUUAGUAGCCAUCGACGGUGGUGGUUCCAAGGUGGUUGUUGUUGUCAUCGGUGGUCAGCAAAGGGUGAGAUUUGUCUUCCAACGGCUAGGGUUCCGUCAUGAAUCACUGGCGGCAAUGAACAUUGAUUAUUGACAUAGUCCAGUCAAUAUCAAUUUCAUGUUAUGUGACUCUGAGUUUCCAAUUGAAGAUUUUGGGGGUUUGACGUGGGUGGCCUUUGACAACAGUCGCACCCCCGCGUCGUCAAAAAGAAAAGAGAGAAAGAAGGACAUCGCUGCUUUGUUUUUUUGUGGGAGGGUGUGGCGAAGGAGGAGACCAUAGUCGCUGCAGCUUGGGUUUGUGUUUUGCAAGAUGCUAUUGCAAUUGUCAUGGAUGUGGAUGCCACCUUGGGGAAGAAAAAAGUUACAGAGCAUAUGGGUUUUUCAUGGUCUACAUUGACAUUUUGAACGAGGACCUUCAUGAACAUCAGGAUGAUGGGAUCAAUAAAGCAUGCCUAAAAGUUAGGUGCUUUAAGACAAAUGAGGAAUGUUUUGGACUUACCAGAUGUGAUAUCAUCACUAUUAAAAUGAUCGUAAUGUGUGCAACGAUGGAUGAGCGGAUGAAGAUGAUAACAUGCAAUGGUGAAGUGAGUUCGGCGGUGAGGCUUCUGCAGCGACUAGGGAUUCGGUCACAGCUUUGGACGGCUGUGAUGCUAUUAUCCGGUGACAAGUGGCUGCAGUUGUAUACAUGGAUUGUGGAUUCAACUAACAACAUAUGUGGAUGGUAUGGCUUACGUUGACAGAAGUCUUCACAGCCUUCCUACUGUCGUAGCUCCGGUUCAAUCGAUGCCUCCUCUCCGUUCAUAGUGUAAUUUUCUUUCUCAAAUUUUGAAUUUAGUAUAAUACUCGGGAUAGGCUGAAUUUUGUCCAGUGGCAUAAUAAUGAUCUUCAUUUGGUCAAAAUCAGAUUUCAAAGCUGAUGCUUCUUCUCCGUUCACAGUAAUUCUUUGUGUAUAUAUAUAUAUAUAUUUGUUUUUGGUGCGGAUCUUUAUGGGGAUUUUGAUGGUUAUUGGCAAAAAGAAAAGUAACUUUGGACAUAGGUCAUGCCUCGGUCCUGUAUUUAUAAGGCAUCGCCUACAAGAGAGUAUAAGAAAGAACUUAUGGAAAAGAUUCAAUACAUGAAAGAACAAGAUAUCGAAUUUGGUUAUAAGGUAAGUUGUUUCUUGAAUAAUAGAUGUCAUGGAUAUAUGAAAGAUUAUAUGAAUUGCUUCUAAGCUUUCUAGCGGUUGGUGGCCAAAAUAGAGUUCUACUGCUUCUUCUGUUAGUCAAAGUUGUUAUUUUGAACUUAUUAAAAAAAUUAGUGUUAAAGGAUUGCAUCUCAUAUUUACAAUAGAUAUAAUGAAGGAAACACGUUAUACCCAAGUCUUAAAGGUUUGGGAUAUACUCCUGAGUGAAACAUUUGGAAGGAAUCAUUAGGAUGUAUACUCUGGAGUAUGUUGAUCAUUGCAAGGCAAGAUGUGUUCAAAGGGGUUCCGAGUAUAGAGAGUAUCCAAUGACAUGGCCUGUGACACCUGAAAUUAUUCCGUCAUUCUAGCUUUCCAGCAAGGUUGUUACAUCUUAGGUUAACUCCGGUGACAAAGAAUAGGGUUAGGUUGUGGCCCUUGAAUUCUCCUUGGCGAUCAGAAUGCCCAAUCUAACCCAAACAAUGGUGGAGGUUAUUAUACCCCUCGGUACUGUGCGGACAUACAUCUAAACCCAUACACUUUUUGUUAUAUAUAUAUAUAUAUAUAUAUAUAUAUAUAUAUAUAUAUAUAUAUAUAUAUAUAUAUAUAUAUAUAUAUAUGUUUCGCGUUGAGACUUCAUGUUGAUUGAUGGUUGGGGUGGUGCAAUCGUGCCCGUGGUAGAAUCAUUAGUACUUAUUACUUUCUGAUUCUAGCAACAAUUUAAAAUAGAAAUCAACCUACAUUUUGAUUGAGGUUAAGGACCAACAAAUUAUUUGGUGAUCUGCUAUGGUUAAUUACUUUGUAGAGUCAUGAUGUGUUGUCAUGUGAGUUCAUGUCUUGUAUGUACUUUAAAUCAAUCUUUACACUUAGGGUUUUGUAUUGUUAACGUAACUUUGUUAGCUACUUUGUAGAUGAAGCUAGGAGAAAAUUCAUAGCUGAUAUCGGUCAAGUUUCAGUAAUUCAAGAAUCGAGCACCGCGAUACGAAUCAAAUAUGAAGUUAUAUUACAUAACAGAGAGUAAGUAUUAUGAAGUUGUUAUUUCAACCUAUUUACUCAAAUGGGUCGAUUUUAAAUUUGUUUUUAAAGGUGUGUAGGGAUGUUUACGGUUCGAUUUAAAACAGUUAAACCAGUCAUCGAUCCAGUUCAUGGUUGGUUUUAUUUUUAGUUUUCGGUCGGUCGGUUUCAAACCAUAUUGAGCGGUUUGGUUUGCGGUUUACACCGGAAGCAGACCGUGUAAAACCAGACAGGACCAUUAGAUUUAGAUAUAUUAUUAUUUUAAAAAUUCGUAUUUAUGGAGAUGUAAUACGAAAUCAAACCAUAUUGAGACAAAGACAGUAAAAUACUAAGUGCCUAAUAUCUAAAUGAGUCAUUUAGGUUUGUCUUGUCUCAGUAAAAUGAUUUAAAAUUCUAAUUGGCUAAAUCAUUGAAAAUAAAAAACACCGGCCCCUAAUAUUCAUCAAUUGUUCUAUCAGUAUAUCCUAAUCUUUCCUAAACGUUUGUUUCCCCUGUAACUGAUCUUUGAUUUCUUGGCUUCUAGCAUGUGUAUAGUUUUUGAUGACACUUGAAAGGGUUACCAUAUUCGUCACAAGAGAUCUAUCCGCUGACCUAGGAGGUGGCCAAGGAUGUAUUUACUCCAUAAAUUCUAUCGUUCUAACUAAAAUGAUGAUGAAUGUUAAAUGUGAAACCAAACUGUAAGUAUUGGUGGUUUUCCCUUUCAACGGUUUGGUUUCGGGUUUUGUUGAGAAAAAAACCAUUAUAAUAGUUUGGCUCGCUGUUUCACCUAAAACCAUCAAAACCAAAACCAUCAAAACCAGACUGUGAACACCCCUAAGGGUGUGCAUGGAUUGGUUUUGGCCCCUUUGGGUAUCUCAAAACCAACUAAAAACCGAAUUCUUUAUUUCGGUUUUUUAAAUUGUUCGGGUGACGGGUUUUGGAGUUGUAUCGAAGGGAAGGGUAUGUGAUUAAAGCUAUUGGUUCUUAGAGUUGUAUCGAAAUAUAUGUGCUUAAAGUUUUGAUCUUUCAUAGUUUUAAUGUCCAGGUGGCGAGUUUUAGAGAUGUAUAGAAGGGCAGGUGAUUAAAGUUUCGAUCUUUCAUUGUUAUAAUUUCCGGGUGACGGGUUUUUAGAGCUAUAUAUCAAAGGGUGUGUGAUUAAAGUUUUGAUAUUUUGUACUCUUAAAGUUUUAUAUUACCCAUUAUUUUAAA